RNAcentral lists this long non-coding RNA (530 nucleotides) under Carica papaya (papaya). RNAcentral's name for it is "long non-coding RNA (CPAP_LNC010103)". The record is from RNAcentral. Lineage: Eukaryota; Viridiplantae; Streptophyta; Magnoliopsida; Brassicales; Caricaceae.
AUUUAUAGGCUAAGCCAAGUAAAUAAAAAGAAAAAUAAAAUCUCUUAAUUUAAUUUGUAAUUACAGAAAAAAUAAAUUAAAAAUUAAAAAAUUAAAAACUAAUUUUCUAAGUAAUAUAGAUUUAGUCUUCUCUUUUAAUUAAAAGAGAUUGUGACCAAAUUAAAAGGGAGACAUAUAGAAAUAAAUUAAAAAUUAAAAGCUAAUUUCCUGACUAAGAUAAAUUUAGUCUUCCUCUUUAAUUAAAAGAGAUUGUAAUUAAAUUAAUUAGGAGACAUAUGAAAAUUUAGGGUCAGCCAUAAGAUCUCCUUUUUAGCCUAUUUCCUCCUCUUUCUUUGGAUUGUACCUUCUCUUUCUGGUCCAUGUCCAUGUUCACAUCAUCCCCUCCCUUUUCAAAAAUGAUUCGUCCUCGAAUCGGACACUUCUUAUGCAAGGGUUUCAACAAUCCUAUUUUCUUUGAGAAAAUGUCAUGUAAAACAACAUUAUUUAACAAAGAAGGUUUGAGGUGAGUUAAUAAUUUUUUCUUGAAAGAU